Long non-coding RNA from Girardinichthys multiradiatus, 344 nucleotides. RefSeq lists it as uncharacterized. The record is from RefSeq and is a predicted model, not a curated record. NCBI's taxonomy places the organism in Eukaryota, Metazoa, Chordata, Actinopteri, Cyprinodontiformes, Goodeidae. The transcript is spliced from 3 exons.
CUUCAUCCUCAUCCUCCUGGCCCUCCUUCAUCUUCUUCUUGAAUAGCUGGUACUCAAAGUACUUCAGGUUUCCGUUGGCCCGCUGGUGUGAUGGGUCUAACCAAACAGAACCAGACGUUUAAGGCAGCGAGCAGAGAGGAGGAAGAGUGAAAUCCUAAUGUGGAGAAGAGUAAAAAACCAGGAGGCUCUGCUUCAUCCGGUUCCUUUUCAAACAGACGGAACUACAGUUUGGACUGAUUCUGGUGGUACAGACCAAGCUCCAGCAGCCUCUUGGUGAAGUCAAGUGCCCUCUCCAGCUCCCCCUGCUGGUAGACGGAGUAGCUGAGGUAGUCCAGGAUGGCGAC